RNAcentral lists this ribosomal RNA (250 nucleotides) under Clostridioides difficile. RNAcentral describes it as "partial 23S ribosomal RNA". It matches the Rfam family "Bacterial large subunit ribosomal RNA", at positions 2243 to 2492 of the family's 2925-position model. Lineage: Bacteria; Bacillati; Bacillota; Clostridia; Peptostreptococcales; Peptostreptococcaceae. The record is from RNAcentral.
GUCUUGGGACACUGUCAGGUGGGCAGUUUGACUGGGGCGGUCGCCUCCCAAAAGGUAACGGAGGCGCUCAAAGGUUCUCUCAGUACGGUCGGAAAUCGUACGUAGAGUGUAAAGGCAAAAGAGAGCUUGAUUGCAAGACAUACAGGUCGAGCAAGGAUGAAAAUCGGACUUAGUGAUCCGGUGGUUCUGCGUGGAAGGGCCAUCGCUCAACGGAUAAAAGCUACCCUGGGGAUAACAGGCUUAUCUCCCC